CAAUAGCGUAUAUUAAAGUUGUUGCGGUUAAAAGCUCGUAGUUGGAUUUCUGUUGAGGUCGGCCGGUGUGCAUUACGUGUAUUAUCAGGUUUGGUCUUGGCAUCCUCUGAGGCACGAGGGACUUUAUUGGCUCUCGAGUUUUCAGACUUUUACUUUGAGGAAAUUAGAGUGUUCACGGCAAGCAAGCGCUUUGAAUACAUUAGCAUGGAAUAAUAAUAUAGGACCUUCGUUCUAUUUUGUUUGGUUUCGUUAGAACUUAGGGUAAGUAGAUUAAUUAAGGGACGAAUUAGGGGGUCGAUUCGUUAUUAACGCGUCAGAGGUGAAAUUCUUAGAUUGCGUUACGGCGAACUACUGCGAAGCAUUUGCCAAAGAUGUUUUCUAUUGAUCAAGAACGAAAGUAAUGGGGAGUCGAAGAUGAUCAGAUACCGU
This 429-nucleotide ribosomal RNA is filed under the name uncultured eukaryote. RNAcentral describes it as "bacterial SSU rRNA". It matches the Rfam family "Eukaryotic small subunit ribosomal RNA", at positions 592 to 1018 of the family's 1831-position model. The record is from RNAcentral.